UACGGAGGGUGCAAGCGUUAUCCGGAUUCACUGGGCUUAAAGGGUGCGUAGGCGGGUAGGUAAGUCAGUGGUGAAAUCUUCGAGCUUAACUCGGAAACUGCCGUUGAUACUAUCUAUCUUGAAUACCGUGGAGGUGAGCGGAAUAUGUCAUGUAGCGGUGAAAUGCUUAGAUAUGACAUAGAACACCAAUUGCGAAGGCAGCUCGCUACACGAAUAUUGACUCUGAGGCACGAAAGCGUGGGGAUCAAACAGG
Molecule: ribosomal RNA, 253 nt
Filed under: uncultured bacterium
Lineage: Bacteria
Description: partial 16S ribosomal RNA
Rfam family: Bacterial small subunit ribosomal RNA
Source: RNAcentral